GUGGCUGAGGGCAGAAUUUGACCUUGUGAGCUAUAAUUGUCCACAGAUACAAAGAAAGAGUUCUCUGUUUUCAGGAGCUCCUCAUUGUGCAGAGUUCAUUCUGUUUGUCCUCUUGCCUGUGCCAGGAGACUUUUCAUCACAUCAGUUGCUACAGAAAGGUCGUAGAAUCCAGAGGGCUUCCUCCACAGAUACCCACACCUUGCCCCUCGUUCCUAACCCAGUAGUAUGCCUGGAAGCAGGAGACACGAUCCUUUUCCAGCUCAGCAUCGAUUCCCACAACCGUGCAUCCAGCCAUUACCCUGUGUAUCAGAAGCAGCAUCUCUACAACAGCAACCCAAGCUGGGAUUUUGGAGCCUUCCGAAGGCUGGACCACCUCAUCCAGGAGACUCACCUCAACAUCUCGUGGUUUGCCCAUGUUUUCCUGGAGUCUGGGACAUAUGUUUUCAGGGAUAGGACCAUUCAGGAGCACUUCCUGAUCGUGACUGUGAAUGAAGCAAAUAUGGGUUGUGACCCCCGAGAUGUUUCCUUCCAGCCCUCUUCUCUGUUCCAGCUGGCCAGACAUGGAAUUCUGAAGCAGCAGAACCUGAAUUUGGCUCCUAACUGGGCCACUAUCACAGGUACAGCCAAAACACUGUGAGAGAGGGAAGGACCAGUUGUGCUUCUCCCCACUCCCUGCUUGAAGAAUUCAAGUGAGGGCUUUGUUUCCCUUGGCUUGAAGGCAGAAAGUGCCAGUGUUUUAGUGCUAAACUCAGCUGAAAUGAAAGGCAUCAUUUAAAAGAUCACUCGGGGCUAAAUACGAGGACAGUUGAGGUCUUUCCUCAAAGCUGUGCACAUACCAGUCCUGUGUCCAUCAGUGAGAGGACAGGAAAGCAAUAGAAAUGAAAGUGUGGCUUGCAUCCUCUGUGCUGUCCCUCUUGGCUUUCCCAGCAGUUCUCUUUGUCCUGGGCUCCCUAAUUGUGGUGCUGGCAACCCUGGCUGUAGUGUUCCAGCCUGCUGUGCCCAUCAUCAGCCCCCUGAAGGCCUGGAAGCCACGAUGGAGGAGCCUGGGCGAGCCACACAUCCCACCGGAGUACAUCCUCCUUAAAGACAGCCUUCAGUUCUAUCAGACAGUCGGUCCUCAUGCUUCUGGAGAAGAUGCUGACUUUGAAGAGAAGGGAGCUGUGCAUAAUGCAGGUAAAGUGCUGGGCCAGUUCACUGCCCAUCAUCCUGUUACCUGUUAGCUCUCUAGUAGGAUACUUUCAUACCUGCUCACCAAGGGCACAC
This 1263-nucleotide long non-coding RNA is filed under the name Melopsittacus undulatus (budgerigar). RNAcentral describes it as "lncRNA (ENSMUNG00000012528.2)". Lineage: Eukaryota; Metazoa; Chordata; Aves; Psittaciformes; Psittaculidae. The record is from RNAcentral.